CCUACGGGAGGCAGCAGUGGGGAAUAUUGCACAAUGGGGGAAACCCUGAUGCAGCGACGCCGCGUGAGUGAAGAAGUAAUUCGUUAUGUAAAGCUCUAUCAGCAGGGAAGAAAAUGACGGUACCUGAGUAAGAAGCCCCGGCUAACUACGUGCCAGCAGCCGAGGUACUACGUAGGGGGCAAGCGUUAUCCGGAUUUACUGGGGGUAAAGGGAGCGUAGACGGCCAUGCAAGUCUGGAGUGAAAGGUGGGGGCGCAACCCCCGGACUGCUGUGGAAACUGUACGGCUGGAGUGCAGGAGAGGUAAGUGGAAUUCCUAGUGUAGCGGUGAAAUGCGUAGAUAUUAGGAGGAACACCAGUGGCGAAGGCGGCUUACUGGACUGUAACUGACGUUGAGGCUCGAAAGCGUGGUGAGCAAACAGGAUUAGAUACCCCUGUAGUC
Molecule: ribosomal RNA, 440 nt
Filed under: uncultured bacterium
Lineage: Bacteria
Description: partial 16S ribosomal RNA
Rfam family: Bacterial small subunit ribosomal RNA
Source: RNAcentral